UUCCUGGUGGCUCAGAUGGUAAAGAAUCUGCCUGCAAUGCAGGAGACCCAGGUUCGAUCUCUGGGUUGGGAAG
Molecule: transfer RNA, 73 nt
Filed under: Ovis aries (sheep)
Lineage: Eukaryota; Metazoa; Chordata; Mammalia; Artiodactyla; Bovidae
Rfam family: tRNA
About the family: Transfer RNA (tRNA) molecules are approximately 80 nucleotides in length. Their secondary structure includes four short double-helical elements and three loops (D, anti-codon, and T loops). Further hydrogen bonds mediate the characteristic L-shaped molecular structure. tRNAs have two regions of fundamental functional importance: the anti-codon, which is responsible for specific mRNA codon recognition, and the 3' end, to which the tRNAs corresponding amino acid is attached (by aminoacyl-tRNA synthetases). tRNAs cope with the degeneracy of the genetic code in two manners: having more than one tRNA (with a specific anti-codon) for a particular amino acid; and 'wobble' base-pairing, i.e. permitting non-standard base-pairing at the 3rd anti-codon position.
Source: Rfam by way of RNAcentral